RNAcentral lists this ribosomal RNA (826 nucleotides) under Salmonella enterica subsp. enterica serovar Typhimurium. RNAcentral describes it as "partial 23S ribosomal RNA". It matches the Rfam family "Bacterial large subunit ribosomal RNA", at positions 2034 to 2854 of the family's 2925-position model. Lineage: Bacteria; Pseudomonadati; Pseudomonadota; Gammaproteobacteria; Enterobacterales; Enterobacteriaceae. The record is from RNAcentral.
CAGUGAAAUUGAACUCGCUGUGAAGAUGCAGUGUACCCGCGGCAAGACGGAAAGACCCCGUGAACCUUUACUAUAGCUUGACACUGAACAUUGAGCCUUGAUGUGUAGGAUAGGUGGGAGGCUUUGAAGUGUGGACGCCAGUCUGCAUGGAGCCGACCUUGAAAUACCACCCUUUAAUGUUUGAUGUUCUAACGUGGACCCGUAAUCCGGGUUGCGGACAGUGUCUGGUGGGUAGUUUGACUGGGGCGGUCUCCUCCUAAAGAGUAACGGAGGAGCACGAAGGUUGGCUAAUCCUGGUCGGACAUCAGGAGGUUAGUGCAAUGGCAUAAGCCAGCUUGACUGCGAGCGUGACGGCGCGAGCAGGUGCGAAAGCAGGUCAUAGUGAUCCGGUGGUUCUGAAUGGAAGGGCCAUCGCUCAACGGAUAAAAGGUACUCCGGGGAUAACAGGCUGAUACCGCCCAAGAGUUCAUAUCGACGGCGGUGUUUGGCACCUCGAUGUCGGCUCAUCACAUCCUGGGGCUGAAGUAGGUCCCAAGGGUAUGGCUGUUCGCCAUUUAAAGUGGUACGCGAGCUGGGUUUAGAACGUCGUGAGACAGUUCGGUCCCUAUCUGCCGUGGGCGCUGGAGAACUGAGGGGGGCUGCUCCUAGUACGAGAGGACCGGAGUGGACGCAUCACUGGUGUUCGGGUUGUCAUGCCAAUGGCACUGCCCGGUAGCUAAAUGCGGAAGAGAUAAGUGCUGAAAGCAUCUAAGCACGAAACUUGCCCCGAGAUGAGUUCUCCCUGAGACUUAGAGUCUCCUGAAGGAACGUUGAAGACGACGACGUU